GGUUCAGUCCACAUAGCCCAUAAAAUAAAGGAGGGAAUAUAACUCAAUUUGGUAGAGUAUUGCUUUUGCACAGCAAAGGUUAGCGGUUCAAAUCCGCUUAUUUCCACAAAAAAAUUGCAUAGAGUGGAAUCCUAGGUAUCUAGAGUCGAAGAAGGGCGUUUUAUGAUUACGAUAAGCUUAAAACAUAUUAUUUUAAGAUCCCCUAAUAGGACAACCCAAAAAAAAUUUAGAAAUAAAUUUUUUUUAUUCUCUUUUAAAUUCAUAAAAAAGAGAAUGGUAACUCAGUGAACUGAAUCAUCUUAGUAACUGAUGGAAAAGAAAGCAAAAGCGAUUUCCUUAGUAGUAGUGAGCAAAAAGGAAGCAGUCUAAAAAAAGAUUUCUAUUUUUUUAUUUAUGAAAUAAUUAAUAUUUAUGCCAAAGAGCGGUUUUAGCCCAGUAAUAAAAAAAAUAAUAAUUUUUAAAUCGGUUUGAAAAGUAAUAUGG
This 483-nucleotide ribosomal RNA is filed under the name Prototheca zopfii. Its description in RNAcentral is "partial 23S ribosomal RNA". The stretch from base 101 to 483 matches the Rfam family "Bacterial large subunit ribosomal RNA", at positions 1 to 420 of the family's 2925-position model. The record is from RNAcentral. Lineage: Eukaryota; Viridiplantae; Chlorophyta; Trebouxiophyceae; Chlorellales; Chlorellaceae.